AGUGAACGCUGGCGGUAGGCCUAACACAUGCAAGUCGAACGGCAGCACAGUAAGAGCUUGCUCUUACGGGUGGCGAGUGGCGGACGGGUGAGGAACACAUCGGAACCUACUUUUUCGUGGGGGAUAACGUAGGGAAACUUACGCUACUACCGCAUACGACCUACGGGUGAAAGCAGGGGAUCUUCGGACCUUGCGCGACUGAAUGAGCCGAUGUCGGAUUAGCUAGUUGGCGGGGUAAAGGCCCACCAAGGCGACGAUCCGUAGCUGGUCUGAGAGGAUGAUCAGCCACACUGGAACUGAGACACGGUCCAGACUCCUACGGGAGGCAGCAGUGGGGAAUAUUGGACAAUGGGCGCAAGCCUGAUCCAGCCAUACCGCGUGGGUGAAGAAGGCCUUCGGGUUGUAAAGCCCUUUUGUUGGGAAAGAAAAGCAGCAGGUUAAUACCCCGCUGUUCUGACGGUACCCAAAGAAUAAGCACCGGCUAACUUCGUG
RNAcentral lists this ribosomal RNA (492 nucleotides) under uncultured bacterium. Its description in RNAcentral is "partial 16S ribosomal RNA". It matches the Rfam family "Bacterial small subunit ribosomal RNA", at positions 29 to 507 of the family's 1533-position model. The record is from RNAcentral.